This 71-nucleotide small RNA is filed under the name Rhizorhapis suberifaciens (corky root of lettuce). Its description in RNAcentral is "Sphingomonas suberifaciens (corky root of lettuce) Makes More Granules Regulator RNA (mmgR)". It matches the Rfam family "Makes More Granules Regulator RNA (mmgR)". Rfam says of the family: SuhB later renamed mmgR (makes more granules regulator) was a putative non-coding RNA found multiple times in the Agrobacterium tumefaciens genome and related alpha-proteobacteria. Other non-coding RNAs uncovered in the same analysis include: speF, ybhL, metA, and serC. Lineage: Bacteria; Pseudomonadati; Pseudomonadota; Alphaproteobacteria; Sphingomonadales; Sphingomonadaceae. The record is from Rfam by way of RNAcentral.
GGAACCUGCCUUUCAGGCAUCCUCUCCUAAAACUUUAUGCCGCCCUUCGGGGCGGCUUUUUUUUGGUCAUC